Long non-coding RNA from Dama dama (fallow deer), 5599 nucleotides. RefSeq lists it as uncharacterized. NCBI's taxonomy places the organism in Eukaryota, Metazoa, Chordata, Mammalia, Artiodactyla, Cervidae. The transcript is spliced from 6 exons. The record is from RefSeq and is a predicted model, not a curated record.
CAGUGUAUGUUCUUCUCCUGAACGUGGUUUUUUCCCAUGAGACUCAUGAAUUCCCGGGAAUCUGCUGAAAGCUCUAAACCUUUUCUCUAGAAAACUGGGGGCAUCUAUGCACAAGCAAGCACGGGCAAGUCCACAAGGGCACGCCCACACCGGCUUGCGCGUGCGCAUACACCUGAUUCGACUUAACUCGCAGGCGUCCCUGAAACUCACAAGCCAGAAGAAUGUCAAGAGUCUACACAACUCACUCUUCAGAGGGACCUCACCCUUCCCAGAGUGAUUUGCUACCAUGUAUUGAGAGAAGACUGGAUGAUGCCACAUUGCCACGUGAUCCCAUAAGAACUCAAUACUGGAAGAGAAAUUUUUUCAGCUGCAGCGAGGAAAAGAAGAGAAAAUGCAAGCAGAUGGAGGAAGAGUCCCCAGACUUCCGACAGCCAGAACCAUCUCCUCUCUGCCUGGAGGCUCUCUCACAAAGCUGCAGCCUGCUCUGCCCUCUUUUGGGGAAGGUCUGAAAUUGCAGAGACUCCAAGCCCCUUCGCCCUGACCCAGCAGCCCUCCACUGAUCAUAAAACUCUUGUAUGAGAGAUUCCCACCCUAUACCUAGAGGAAAGGAGUAUCCUUCUCUCUGAAGACAAAGGAAACCAAGAACCAGGCCUUGGAAAUCUCCACUAAAAUAAUGUAAUGGAGUGUUAACAUUUAUUAACCCACGAGGAGAGAGGAGACAUGAGCAGAGGAAAUAUUUUAACAUCUUCACAGAAGAAAAAAGUUGCCUGGAGGCAACUUGGAAAAAGAGAGAAACGUGGUUUUAACAGGGAAUUGGCUGAAAGUGUGUAUACAGAUGAUUAAACCUUGGCAAGACUCUUUCCUGUUGAAAUCAGCCGUUCCUUGCAAAAGAGAUUUACUCUUUGCAGAAAUUUGAUAGUAUUUAGAGAAUACAAGCCCAAAAGGACAAGGUGAGGCACAGGCUGAAAGGAAGAGGCUUAAGUAGAUAGGUGGCUGACUCUGGGACCCAUGGUCAUCUUCCUCAAAAUGUCACAUGUACUACUUCCACCGGUUCUGGCAGGAUUGAAGGACUUCUUUCUAGAGAAGAUAAAUGGCUCUAGAAAAAAGAUGUCCUCACAGUGACAUUUAGGAUCCACAAUUAAAAUGGCUAUUCACUGCCUUCGCUGUUCAUCCUAUAAUGAAGCUUACCCGGCAACCAGUGUGAUAAUAGGAAAGAACACGCCCUAUCCUAGCAGCCUCUGCUCAGCUUCAGCCAAUUGUUAGAGAUCAGUGAUGUCAGUUCAUCUUGAAGGUCAAGAGAAUUAGGAAAACUGGAUUUUUAUGUCAGUAUUUUCAAAUUUUAAGACACUUAGCACAUGAAAUAAAAUAUGAAUGACUGUAAGUAAAGGAUGUUUAGAACCUAUCAGCUACAGAAAAGGAUGCACUAGCUUUCCGCCAGAAUCAUAUGCUGAAGGGGAAAGUUAACACCUUGACAGAGGCAUCGAAUUCAAUCUCCAUCUGCCAGGAAAGUGCUUGCAUCCUAGUGUGAAAUAAAGUGAAGUCACUCAGUUGUGUCCGACUCUUUGCGACCCCAUGGGCUGUAGCCUACCAGGCUCCUCCAUCCAUGGGAUUUUCCAGGCAAGAGUACUGGAGUGGGUUGCCAUUUCCUUCUCCAGGGGAUCUUCCCGACCCAGGGAUCAAACCCAGAUCUCCCGCAUUGCAGGCAGACGCUUUACCGUCUGAGCCACCAGGGAAGCCAGGGCUUAGUGAACAUUGCUGAAUGAACACAUGAGGAAGCAGACCAAACUAAAACAAUCAGAGGUAUAAAAUGAUCUGAAAUUAGCAUUGUUACAUGUAUAUAACAGACACAGUAUCCUUGAAAGAGGAAGGGGCAGCAAGAGUGAAUUAAUGACUUGCAAAGUUGGGCUAAGAAUGUGGCAUAAAAGUAUAUACAGAAAUGUCACUGUUUUUCUAAGAAGAGUUACCAAAAGAAAGGGCACAUUGGAAGGGAAUAUACACUAAGAUCAAGAGAAAUGGCUGGGGGCGGGGGCAGGGGAUGGGUAAAGAGGCAGAGAAAUUGAAUGAGCACAUGUGCAUGAGAAAGAUUUAUUUCACAAAAUGGAAAUGAUACUAUAUUAAAGAAAUGAGCUGAAAAAAAAGAACAGAUCUAUAAGUGAAAUUUCAGAACAUCAAGGAUGAAGAAAAUCUGGUAGGGCAGCAAAUUAACUAGAAAGGAAAGAAAAUCAGACUUGCGUUGGUACAUUGGAUGGUGGUGAGCAAAUCAAGAAUUCUCUCUAGAGCUAAAUUGCAUCAUUCAAGAGUCAGAACAAACUUUUGGUAAUUCAAGGGUUUGGAUUAUCACCCACUUUAUUAGAAAAGAUUAUCAUCGUCUAUAUUCUAAGAAAAUGAAUCCAAAAGAAAGACUGGGGAUCCAAAUUUAAAACAUUUUAAAUUUAGAUGGUGAAAAAAAAAAAAAAACGAACUAAAAUCUCACAUGAUGUAACACAGGACAAUGUGAGGGAGGCUCUAUCUUGAAGAAGAGAAGACUAAGUUUCUUAUCCUAUUAAAUGGGAGACUAUAGAGGAAAAUGAUAGAAGACUUGUAACACUUAUAGCAACCUAAUUUAAUAGAUAUUUUUUCAAAAGUCACUGUGACAGACAAAAAAUAGUCUUUUUAAAAGUGUACAGAAUAAUCAUAAAAGUUGACCUUUUGUUAGGUCAUAAAAUAACAGUGAACUAAGAAUGGAGAAGAAAAUUGCAACCCACUACAGUAUUCUUGCCUGGAGAAUCCCACGGACAGAGGAGCCUGGCAGGCUAGAGUCCAUGGGGUCGCAAGAGUCGGACACGACUUAGCGACUAAACCAUCCAUCCAUCCAAUUACCAAGAAAAAUAACCACACAAGUUACAUUUACUAACCAGAAUAAAAUGAAACUCAAAACAGAAGUGUAUCUGACAUUUUCUAAACUCUCAACACUUUAAACACCUUUCUAAAACGGGCUUGAAGAAGAGCUCAAAUGGAAAUUUUCAGUUAAUUAGCUAUGAUGACAGUGGAAGUAAUACUACCAGACACCAAGAGCAAGUCCUUUCUCUGAGUCAGGGGAGAUAAAGGUUCUCAAAUAGAAAGGCUUCUAGAUGAGAAACUGCAGUUUCAAACUGGACUGGAACAAACUAGAGAGACUAGAAAGUUUAAGAAUCGGCUUAAAUUACAUUUAAGGGACAGGACAAGGAGAGCCCGCAGAGGAGGCGAGGGGGGAAAGGUGGGGGAGGAAGAGAGGCAAGGAAGAAUAGGAGGAGGAACACACAAAGCCACUCAUAUUGGUACCCACUGAGUUCAGCCAACUGUGAGUGCCUUCUGUAUGUAAUUUAAAAAGUAAGGAACGAAUCCAGUUUUAAAAUUUUACUGGAUAAGCCAUUUAAAAUGCAGCUACUGUUCUUCUUCACAUGUUCUGUGUUUGGCUGUUCCAGGCCCCUGUUCCACCCUGGUUUCUCCUAAGUUUUUGAGAGGGCUCUUCCAUUAAUAAUUGAUUUUGCAUUUUUCCCAUUUAUAAAGAAGUCUAACGGGAAUAACAUCAAAACUGUGGCUGUGUUGCCCAACCUUUCCCCAGCUUUUAAUUCUUGAUAAGAAUUGUCAGUUCUUGAGACCAAGCCUUUUGAGCUCAAAACAGAUUGCGAACUUAAUAUGACCAAAUGCUGGAGACAAUGUGGAGAGCAGAGAACCCUUCUGCACUGUUGGUGGGAAUGUAAAUUGGUUCAGCCACGAUGGAGAACAGUAUGGAGGUUCCUUAAAAAAGUAAAAAUAGAGCUACCAUAUAACCCUGCAAUCCCACUCCUGGGCAUAUAUCCAGAGAAAAACAUGGCCUGAAAAUAUACAUGCACCGCAAUGUUCAUUGCAACACUGUCUACAAUAGCAAGACGUGGAAGCAACCUAGACGUCUAUCAACAGAGGAACGGAUAAAGAAGAGGUGGUACAUAUAUACAAUGGAAUAUUACCCAGCUAUUUAAAAAAAAAGAAAUAAUGCCAUUUGCAGCUACAUGGAUGAUCUAGAGAGUAUCACACUGAGUGACGUAAGUCAGACAGAGAAGGAGAAAUAGCAUAUGACAUCCCUUCUAUGUGGAAUCAAAAAAGAAACAAUACAAAUGAUCUUUCUUGCAGAGACAGAAAGAGACUCAACCGACUUUGAAAACAAACUUACAGUUGCCAGGAAGGGAGGGGAUAGUUAAAGAAUUUGGAAAGGUCAUAUACAUACUGCUAUAUUUAAAACUGAUAACUAACAAAGACCUUUUGUAUAGGAUGUGGAAGUCUGCUCAAUGUUAUAUGCCAGGCUGGAUGGGAGUGGUGUUUGGUGGAGAAUUGAUACAGGUGUAUGUAUGACUGAGUUCCUUCACUGCUCACCUGAAACUACCACAACAUUGUUAAGCAGCUAUACCCCGAUACAAAAUGUUUUUGGUAUCCAAAAAAACAUUUAAAAAAUACAUUUAUUUUUAAAAAUAUUUAUUUAUGUAUGUAUGUAUUUAAUUGACUGUGCUGGAUUUUAGUUACGUCAUUCAAGCUCUUAGUUGAGGUACGUGGGAUCUCGUUCCCUGACCAGGAAUCAAACCUGGGCCCCCUGCAUUGGUGGCUUGGAGUAUUAGCCACUGGGCCACGAGGGAAAUCCCUUAUUUAAAAAAAAAAAAAGUUAAUAUGACCAUGAGCUUCAAAGCCACUAUCAACAGGCCCCUUAUCAGAUUAUAUAAUUUCCAUAAGCUAAAAUAGGGGAAUAGAGUGGUCCUGACCUCUUGUCUUUUUACCUUGUACUUUAAUGAUUUGAUACCUCUUUGGAAUUAACUGAAUUCAUCUGCUGAAUUUUCAAUAACCACAUAGAGUAAACAUAUUCAUUCUAUUAUCCAGGAGAAUGUUUGCAACCAGUUUGUCUUAGUAUAUUUACAAAGAAUCUCAUUCUCCAGUCCUUUGACUCGUAUUAAUCUAUAUAAUAUACCAAUUCCUGAACUUUCCAGUCUUUCUAGUUCAUUCCAGUCCAAAGUCCAAUUUGAAAUUUCAAUCUCUCACCCAGUUUGCAAUGUUUAAAGGGAGCUAUUCCAGGACUGACUUACUGGAAUUUUUUUUUCUCAACAAUCUCAAGAGAUGUUUGCUAACGUAUACUUUAAAUUAUUUUAAGAUUAAAUUAUCACUGUGCAAAACUCUGGGGUCUUGAUUGCCUAUUUAUAGAUCCAGGAUGGUUUUCUGAAGGAGACAAUAAAAAAACAAAACAAAAAAUGUCUCGGUUCACGGGUACUGCCUCAGCACCCUGGUUUGGAUUGCCACAGGCGAUCUUCAGCCUAAGGGACAGAUUCUAAUUAGCAAAUCUCAACUUUCUUAAGGGGAUGCCCAUUAUACUCUCAGCUCAUCCAACUCUAUCAAGUCUAUGGGCCUGGCUCACAAUCAGAAACAGAGGAUGUGUACACUGAAAAUACUUGUUGAGAGUAACACCUAUUUCUCCUAUUUUGUACUCACUGACAGCAAAUACUUUAAUUUCCCUCUCUGGUUCAGUUAAAGCCAAAUUUGUGACAGAUUCUAACAAAUGCAUGGACCCCCCAUAGUAUACAUUUUUCUUUGUUUAUUUUUUUCUUUGCUGUGAUUUCAU